Non-coding RNA from Cyanistes caeruleus (blue tit), 3987 nucleotides. Lineage: Eukaryota; Metazoa; Chordata; Aves; Passeriformes; Paridae. The record is from RefSeq and is a predicted model, not a curated record.
CAGGAGGAACUUUCCAAUAUGACAGUUGGCAAACCCACAACAUGACAGACUGCAACAGAUGCUUCCUGCUGCUACCAUAUAGAUUUUCUCUUGAUUACUUGUGUGGCUGAUGCACACAGAAGAAUGAAAGGAGUGGUAGUAGUUUCAGACUGUCUUAUUAUUAAAUACAUUGUUCUGCUUUUGUAUCAAGUACAAAAGCUGCCACUAUAGAUGAGAUAACUAGACACUCAUCUGAUUCAAAAAUGAGUGAUGUCAUUACAUCUUAACAAAUCAUGCUUCUAAAAUGGUAAAACUGUAAUCAACAGGCCCUAUUCCACUGGUGAAGCAUGCACAUAUAGCAGGUCACCUAGGGGGUAGAAAACUGCAAAUACCUUACCCAUUCCAUGCAUUCUUUUUUAAAGCUCCCUUUCCUCUCUUGCAGGAAGGCUGUAUACAUACAUAGCUGUAUGUGUGUCAGCUUGUGUCAGCCCCUUCUUGCAGUGGCUCUAGUGUUAUGAAAUUUUAUGCUGAUCUGAGCAUAAUGUCAGGUUCUGUUCAGAGAAGGACAGCUCCUGAAUGGCUGAACAAGCCAUGCACCUUAGAGUGGAAUGAAGCAGGAAGCAUCUGCUUACUAUCAAAAAAUGAAGUCAGGAAGAAUGCCCGCGAUUUUCUUUUUAGAACAAGUUUGCAAAAAAACCCCUCAGGCUUCCAGUAGCAUUCUGUUGUCUCAUAGAAUGUUACCUGCUUUUAUCAUCUUGCACAUUACUAAUUGCAAGGCUGCAGCAUAUGGAUACACUAUAUGCAGAAUCUCCAUCACAAUCCAGUUGCAAUUCUCCAGACUGUUUUACAGUGGCAAUUAGCAACGCACCUACUAUGAAGACUGCUCCUAGCUGCAGGAAGAGUCAGCGGGACUACACAGCAGACAAGAAAUGCAGCAAAUUGCUGCAAUUCACUUUCAGAGUUACAAGGGAUACCUGGAUGCCAGAACGUUUGCAGGGGCAGUAGCAGGAAUAGCCCAAGAAGCAUGGUCUGGUGGUUUCUGCCCAUUCAGGAUAAACCAGGCAGUUUUCCAUCAAUAUCCUGGAAGGCUGCAACCUAACAAGUGUUUUCACACCACACAAUCUUUCUGAUAGAGACAAAAUACUAAAUUCAGGCUAAAAAGAUCAGAAGGAAGCAUAUUGGAGAUGAGAGCUCUAACUUACUCUGUGCACUCUUUCCAUUUUUUUCCCCUAAUUCUUACGUAGAAAUUGUUUGCUGGCUACUUUUACUCUGGUUUAAGAGAGUUCAUCUUUAACUAGGUUUAUAUUUUGAGGAACAUAGCCUGUCAUUAGCAUAAGCAGCUGAUUCUUGCAUCCAUAAAACAGACACUGAAUUUCCCAGCAGUUGCUAUGAUUACAUUAUUGCUACAGGAGCUGCUUUCAAGAUCACUCCUGCUGCAAGGAAGUUUUUCUGCCUUAGUAUUCAAUAUGAUCAUGAAACUUUGUCUUCACCAAAAAUAUAUUAACAUUUGCAGAUAAGCACAUUUUACUGUGACACACCACUUAAUUAUGUUAUCCAUGUUUAAUUUUGGUAUUUAAAUAAAAACUACUAAAUUAAGUUUCUUAUAUCAGUUUACCAAGAACAGUUGGUGUUCUAGUUUUGUUAUGCUCCCUGAAACCUAUCAUCACUUAUGUGAAAUCCUAGAGUGGUCCAUAGUGGUUGUCAAAUUUUGGUAUUCAGAUUCACAGCAGAAAUCAUCAUUGAUUCUUCUCCCAGCCAAAACAAGAGGUAAAGGUGACUGAAGUAUUCAAGCAUAAGUAGAAUAGUUUGUAGUGCUCCUGACAUUAAUGCCUCAAGCUGGAUAAAUCUGCUUUAAAACACAAGCUUUUCAACUUGAAUAUUCAUGUUUUUUGCUCUUCUUACUUCUUUCCUGUUACCCUACUUUUCUUCCCCAAAAGUUUUCAAGAACCUUCUCGUUGCUGAUAUGUUUCCUUCCACUCUCCCAAUUCAAUUCCUACUUCCUUCCAUCUACAGUGCCUUGGCUGUUAGUUCCUCGAGCUCUAGACUGGGCAGCAGGAGUCACAGGAGGAGCUCUGUGCUAGAGUUUUUGCUGUGCAGAGAACACCCCACACCACUUGCCUGCAGCAGCAGUUUACCCAAAAUGGUUCCGGUGUGGUUGACCACGCUGUCACAGAAGCUGUUGAAAUUGCACAACGGAGAGAACACUGCAAGAAGAGAGGAAUGGCAACCUGGACCAGCAGCACAUGCUACAACCUCAUUCUGUGAAAAACUCAGUUGCAACCCAAUCACAUCCCUGCAAUGAGUCAAAGCAGCUUGCUUACAAAAGAGUUCCUCAACGGGAAAAAGUAAAGUGACUUCCAGGUGAAGGAAUGAAGCUGGAAGGUCAAGCAGAUCAAGAGCAGAGACUUCAAAACAGCUAAGAUACACCAGGGAAGUUCACUGUAAACAGACAUGGGCUCCCCAAAAGCAAUGUGUUAAAUCAAACUGGUUAAAUAGAACCACUGCACAUGAUAAAGUCUCAUGUCCCAACUGUGUUCUUUGACCUCUAGAAGUGGGGCAUCCUCUCCCCAGCUCUGCUCCCUCAGACCACUUGUACAAAGAAUUUUACUCCAAAGUGAUCAUGUCCCCAUUUUUAUACUACAGGUACACGCUGGGCAAAUUAACCAUGGAGGCAAGGGAAGAGAGCACAGGGAAUAAGGGGGCGUAGGGAUGGUUCACACCAUCAAGGGGGAAGACGUAACUACCAGUAAGGGGAGGACAGAAAAGGGUGUGAAUGUGCUGGAGAAAAGAUUACAACAGCAGCUAGUACUUGACUGUUCAUUGCAUGAAAAACUUUGAGCACACUGUCAAGGAGUUGGCGCGUUAUGCGAGGUUUAAACAAGUCCAGCCAGCUGCCUAAACUGUCUUGGCACUUACCAAGAAAAUAGCAGUGACAAUGCCAGACUGAAAGUUUGCAAUGACUUUAUUUGGCAUGUUGCAUCCCACUGGGCCAUUUAUGUGGCAAAAUGAAAUAUGAAUGUCUCAUGGGACUGUUUUUUCAUUGCUUACUGAUGAGCUUUUAGAACAUCAGAAGCAAUGAAAAACAAUUCUGGCUUAAGAGGAGAGCUGUAAUUAUCAUAGAAUAUAAAGGCUUGGUUCCCAUGCAGAAUGCAAUACACAAGUGGGCUAGACACUACAGCAAGCCCAGGACUCUCAGAGUCCAGCCACAAAAGCAGAAAUCAAAAUUUCAGCACUUAAAAAGGGAAAAUCUAGUGUUUUGAAGGCUCUAUUUUCAACCACUCAAGAUAAUUAAACUAGAGGGAUAACUAUAAAUAAAUCAUGGAAGUGAGGUGCAAACAAGACAAUUUGUUAAGUGUAAUUCAUACUGUCAUCAGGCCUUCCUCAUAUUAGUACCAGAAUAGCAAGGAAUGCAGUUGGCACUCCAAAUCCUCCUAACCAGAUGGCUGCUUAAGGGUUGCAACCUUACUUCAUAGGAACUAUUUUCCAACAAACAGCUCCAGAUAAGAGACAAUAACACAUCUGCUUCCCAUUAAUCUAUAUUAGUUCUCAAAAGUUCUUCUGGAGAGCAUAGCAGAAGGCUGUAGUAGUGAAGAUAAAAAAACUAGUUCUCUGCUAUGGUAGCACUGUAUCUGGUCAUUUGAUGCAAUGAGAUGCUGCAGUGCCCAGUAGAUUCUGCUCAAAUAGCAGCAUGGAAUGACAUUGCUCUCUAGAGAAUUCUGAAUGUCUAAUUAAUGUUCUGGAGUGUAGUUAGGGAUACAGGUUACUAAUUAGCAUUUUAACUAGGAGAUGCAAUCCUGUGCAUCCUUAAGUGUUAAAUCUACUUUUCAUUUUGUGUUCCUGAGGCAUGCAAAUUUGAGAGCUGGGCUUCUCAGUACUACUGCAAGGUAGGGAAGUACCUGUCUCACCACUGGAGAACAAAUACAGAGGUAAAUGCUUGUGCAAGCUCACGUGUGAACUCUGACCAAGCCCAAAAAUAAAAAAAUAAACCUUAAAAAAAAAAAAAAAAAA